Molecule: non-coding RNA, 73 nt
Organism: Myotis brandtii (Brandt's bat)
Lineage: Eukaryota; Metazoa; Chordata; Mammalia; Chiroptera; Vespertilionidae
Source: Rfam
GACCAGGUAGCUCAGUUGGUUAGAGCAUUGUCCGGAUAUGCCAAUGUUGCAGGUUAGAUCCUUGCUCAGGGCA